GAUGAAGAACGUAGUGAAAUGCGAUAAGUAAUGUGAAUUGCAGAAUUCAGUGAAUCAUCGAAUCUUUGAACGCACCUUGCGCCUUUUGGUAUUCCGAAAGGCACACCUGUUUGAGCGUCAUGAAUACCUCAAUCUCCAUCUUUUCUUCGGAUUGAUGGGUGACUUGGAUGUUGAGCCCUGCUGGUAUGCUAUAUCAGCUGGCUUUAAACUUAUUAGCCGGCUCUGUACUGGAUCGGUUUGACUCGACGUGAUAAUAUUAUCGUUGAGGAUGCAUGUCUCAUGCAGCCGGAAAGUAUCAAAGCAGCUUCUAGCUUGCCUUUAGUGCACUUUUACAUUUUAGACCUCAGAUCAGGUGGGACUACCCGCUGAACUUAAGCAUAUCAAUAAGCGGAGGA
This 395-nucleotide unclassified non-coding RNA is filed under the name soil metagenome. RNAcentral's name for it is "partial contains 5.8S ribosomal RNA, internal transcribed spacer 2, and large subunit ribosomal RNA". The stretch from base 1 to 120 matches the Rfam family "5.8S ribosomal RNA", at positions 35 to 154 of the family's 154-position model. The record is from RNAcentral.